GAUUAUUUUCUAGUACCAGCCGAGGAAUUCGGUUAGUACUCACUUGUAUUCACUGUCACUUUUUCUCAUGUACUAAUUAUAAAUGACCAAAAUCAAGAUUGCUCAAAAGGGUAAAUGAUAGCCACAGUAUUGCUCCCUAAAAUAUGCAUAAAGUAGAAAUUCACUGCCUUCCCCUCCUGUCCAUGACCUUGGGCACAGGGAAGUUCUGGUGUCAUAGAUGUCCCAUUUUGUGAGGUAGAGCUGUGCAUUAAACUUGCACAUGACUGGAACAAAGUAUGAGUGCAACUCAAAUGUGUUGAAGAUACUGCAGUCAUUUUUGUAAAGACCUUGCUGAAUGUUUCCAAUAGACUAAAUACUGUUUAGGCCGCAGG
This 371-nucleotide long non-coding RNA is filed under the name Homo sapiens (human). RNAcentral's name for it is "HSALNT0074003". The record is from RNAcentral. Lineage: Eukaryota; Metazoa; Chordata; Mammalia; Primates; Hominidae.